GUUGUGGCUAAUAUCCACAGGAAUUGACGGUACCGGACAUAAGAAGCACCGGCUAACUACGUGCCAGCAGCCGCGGUAAUACGUAGGGUGCAAGCGUUAAUCGGAAUUAUUGGGCGUAAAGGGUGCGCAGGCGGUUAUAUAAGUCAGAUGUGAAAUCCCUGGGCUUAACCUAGGAAUUGCGUUUGAAACUAUAUAACUAGAGUGUGACAGAGGGGAGUGGAAUUCCAUGUGUAGCAGUGAAAUGCGUAGAGAUGUGGAAGAACACCGAUGGCGAAGGCAGCUCCCUGGGUUAACACUGACGCUCAGGCACGAAAGCGUGGGGAGCAAACAGGAAUUA
Molecule: ribosomal RNA, 337 nt
Filed under: uncultured Nitrosomonas sp.
Lineage: Bacteria; Pseudomonadati; Pseudomonadota; Betaproteobacteria; Nitrosomonadales; Nitrosomonadaceae
Description: bacterial SSU rRNA
Rfam family: Bacterial small subunit ribosomal RNA
Source: RNAcentral